GACGAACGCUGGCGGCGUGCUUAACACAUGCCAGUCGAACGGAAAGGCCCUGCUUCUGUGGGGUGCUCGAGUGGCGAACGGGUGGGUAACAAGUGCGUAACCUGCCCUUGACUUUGGGAUAACUUCAGGAAACUGACGCUAAUUACGGCUAGGAGCUCCUGCUGCAUGGUGGGGGGUGGAUAGAUUGUGCGGUAGGGGAUGGACUCGCGGCUUAUCUGCUUGUUGGUCGGGUAGUGGCUUACCAAGGCUGUGACGGGUAGCCGGCCUGAGAGGGGGACCGGGCACAUGAGGACUGCGGGACGGAGCAGAAGCCUACCGGAGGCAGUAGGGGGGAAUAUGGCGCAAUGGGGGGAAGCGUGAUGCAGCGACGCCGCGUGCGGGAUGACGGCCUGCGGGUUGAAAACCGCUUUCGCCUGUGACGAAGCGUGAGUGACGGUAAUGGGUAAAGAAGCAACGGCUAACUACGUG
RNAcentral lists this ribosomal RNA (468 nucleotides) under uncultured bacterium. RNAcentral describes it as "partial 16S ribosomal RNA". It matches the Rfam family "Bacterial small subunit ribosomal RNA", at positions 28 to 507 of the family's 1533-position model. The record is from RNAcentral.